UACGUAGGGGGCAAGCGUUGUCCGGAAUCAUUGGGCGUAAAGCGCGUGUAGGCGGCCAGGUAAGUCCGUUCUGAAAGCCCGGGGCUCAACCCCGGGAGGCGGAUGGAUACUGCUUGGCUCGAGUCCGGAAGAGGCGAGUGGAAUUCCCGGUGUAGCGGUGAAAUGCGCAGAGAUCGGGAGGAACACCCGUAGCGAAGGCGGCACUCUGGGCCGGUACUGACGCUGAGGAGCGAAAGCGUGGGGAGCAAACAGG
This 253-nucleotide ribosomal RNA is filed under the name uncultured bacterium. RNAcentral's name for it is "partial 16S ribosomal RNA". It matches the Rfam family "Bacterial small subunit ribosomal RNA", at positions 524 to 776 of the family's 1533-position model. The record is from RNAcentral.